Molecule: unclassified non-coding RNA, 155 nt
Filed under: uncultured fungus
Lineage: Eukaryota; Fungi
Also listed under: 1 other name
Description: sequence contains ITS1, 5.8S rRNA gene
Source: RNAcentral
CCAAUCUCAGGUCCUCUUGAGGACGUCUGAAACCCUUGAAUACCUUACUUUGUUGCUUUGGCAGGCCGCCUCCGGGCGUCGGCUCCGGCUGACUGCGCCUGCCAGAGGACCCCAACUCUUUUGUUUAGUGAUGUCUGAGUACUAUAUAAUAGUUA